This 1373-nucleotide ribosomal RNA is filed under the name uncultured marine alveolate. RNAcentral describes it as "eukaryotic LSU rRNA". The stretch from base 503 to 1373 matches the Rfam family "Eukaryotic large subunit ribosomal RNA", at positions 1 to 840 of the family's 3401-position model. The record is from RNAcentral.
GUCGUAACAAGGUUUCCGUAGGUGAACCUGCGGAAGGAUCAUUCGCACAAAUGUUCUUUCACACCCGCCACACAUCAUAUUGAUACCCCCUGUUUUCAAUAAGGACGUCUUGUCCAUCUCGUCGAUGUUGCAACUUCAUUGCAGCGUUUGCGAUGUAAUCUAUCUCUUGCAACGACGAAUGCCUUGGCUCGAGGAUCGUUGAAGGACGCAGCGAACUGUGUUACACAUCUCGAAUUGCAGAUUUCCGAGAAAGAUAAGGAUUCUGAACGCAUUCUGCAAGUUGGGCUUGCCCGACUCACGUGGUUGGCGGUGAUCGCAAUAUACAGUCGUUCAAACUCUGAAGUUUGAAUGGUCAUCUUGUGUUGUCGCUUGUAAAGCGCCGACGCAAUCGAAGUAGAAGCGUGCCUGACAACUUCGAGCACCGAUUGUGACUUUCAGUCCGCGUGUGUUUGAUUUGUUCGGCGAGCAAAAGUUUGAGUAAUCAAAUUUUUUUUUCGCACGCUCACGACCAAUCACGGGAUUACCCGCUGAAUUUAAGCAUAUAAAUAAGUGGAGGAGUAAAAACUAACCAGGAUUCCCCCAGUAAUGGCGAAUGAACAGGGAAGAGCUCAAAUACAUAACCGCAUUGCGGAAUGUAACCUCGUGUGCUCUCACCAGUAGCUUCCUCGUCGUUUGUUGUUUGGAAAAACACAUAACCACGGGUGAAAAUCCCAUCUGUCGGCCUACGGAAGCUGCGUACGGUGUGAGUUCCCCGAGUCGCGCACCCUGGGACGGGUGCGUAAAUUCGGUGGUAAGUUUCAUCGAAAGCUCAAUAUCUCCUCGAGUCCGAUAGCGAACAAGUACCAUGAGGGAAAGGUGAAAAGUACUUUGAAAAGAGAGUUAAACGUGCCUGAAAUCGUUGUGAAUCAAGCAAUUGGAAUCAACGUCGUUAAGGAAUUGGAGCGCAAUCUUGUUUCUCUGGAUCCCUUGAAGACAUCUGGCACUGGUGGAUGAGUUGUUUACAACGCCAUUUGAAAUCUCUCCGGAGUGAUCUUUUGGAAGUAACAACUUUUGCACUGGCGGUACACAUAUUUUUGGAUCGUGCUGAAUGUCUGAUGACGUUAUCGGAUGCCAAACUUUUGUCUCUGGUGCGUUUGAUGACGGAAGGUUCUCGAAAAGAUAUGUGGUGUCAGAAUUGCAGGUUCCAAUUGACCCGUCUUGAAACACGGACCAAGGAGUUCAUACGCAUGUGCGAGUAUGUGAGCCAAAACGCUCAUAUGCGAAAUGAAAGUGAAAGGUAGAAUAUAAGCUCUACCGACCGACUACAUUCUUCGGCGUGAAGUUCGAGUAUGAGCGCAUGUGUUGGGACCCGAAAGAUGGUGAACUAUGCGUGA